AUGCGCCUGCCGCGCCGGGCCGCGCUGGGGCUCCUGCCGCUUCUGCUGCUGCUGCCGCCCGCGCCGGAGGCCGCCAAGAAGCCGACGCCCUGCCACCGGUGCCGGGGGCUGGUGGACAAGUUUAACCAGGGGAUGGUGGACACCGCAAAGAAGAACUUUGGCGGCGGGAACACGGCUUGGGAGGAAAAGACGCUGUCCAAGUACGAGUCCAGCGAGAUUCGCCUGCUGGAGAUCCUGGAGGGGCUGUGCGAGAGCAGCGACUUCGAAUGCAACCAGAUGCUAGAGGCGCAGGAGGAGCACCUGGAGGCCUGGUGGCUGCAGCUGAAGAGCGAAUAUCCUGACUUAUUCGAGUGGUUUUGUGUGAAGACACUGAAAGUGUGCUGCUCUCCAGGAACCUACGGUCCCGACUGUCUCGCAUGCCAGGGCGGAUCCCAGAGGCCCUGCAGCGGGAAUGGCCACUGCAGCGGAGAUGGGAGCAGACAGGGCGACGGGUCCUGCCGGUGCCACAUGGGGUACCAGGGCCCGCUGUGCACUGACUGCAUGGACGGCUACUUCAGCUCGCUCCGGAACGAGACCCACAGCAUCUGCACAGCCUGUGACGAGUCCUGCAAGACGUGCUCGGGCCUGACCAACAGAGACUGCGGCGAGUGUGAAGUGGGCUGGGUGCUGGACGAGGGCGCCUGUAUGGAUGUGGACGAGUGUGCGGCCGAGCCGCCUCCCUGCAGCGCUGCGCAGUUCUGUAAGAACGCCAACGGCUCCUACACGUGCGAAGGUGGGCCAGGCGGGCGGGUCUGCACUCCGGGGCCUGCCGGGUUUCGUUGCUGCCUUUGUCAACAUUCAUUUAUGGCUUCUUAG
RNAcentral lists this small RNA (855 nucleotides) under Pan troglodytes (chimpanzee). Its description in RNAcentral is "retained intron". Lineage: Eukaryota; Metazoa; Chordata; Mammalia; Primates; Hominidae. The record is from RNAcentral.